This 285-nucleotide ribosomal RNA is filed under the name Triticum aestivum (bread wheat). Its description in RNAcentral is "partial small subunit ribosomal RNA". The record is from RNAcentral. Lineage: Eukaryota; Viridiplantae; Streptophyta; Magnoliopsida; Poales; Poaceae.
AUGGCCUUGCAUCCAUCUGGCCCUGUUGUGUUCAUGGAGCCACUGUACCAUGGCCAAGAACGAGACCCCGUGAACGUCAAGUUCUUCCACGACGCCAGAACGACUACAGGCCUAAACGGCAUGUCCCACUUCAGCAAGUGUACCUCUACUUCGGAUUCGCCAAGUACCACGACAUCCGAAGCCCUCGGAUACGUCAAGUUCGACUACCGUCGCAAGAACGAGACCGACAAGUCCGAAGACCACAAGUACCACGAUGACCGACGAAUAGUACCACUACCUUCUUGA